GGACUUUGAGUCCACUGAAGGAACGUUUAAGACUAAGACGUUGAUAGGCUGGGUGUGUAAGUGCAGCGAUGCAUUGAGCUAACCAGUACUAAUGAUCCGUGAGGCUUAACCUUACAACACCGAAGGUGUUUUAG
RNAcentral lists this ribosomal RNA (134 nucleotides) under Serratia marcescens. RNAcentral's name for it is "partial 23S ribosomal RNA". The stretch from base 1 to 113 matches the Rfam family "Bacterial large subunit ribosomal RNA", at positions 2815 to 2925 of the family's 2925-position model. The record is from RNAcentral. Lineage: Bacteria; Pseudomonadati; Pseudomonadota; Gammaproteobacteria; Enterobacterales; Yersiniaceae.